GGGGUUGUAACUCAGUGGCAGAGCAGCUGCCUCACGUGCAGGAGGUCCCCAGUUCCAGCCCCAGCAUCUCCA
Podarcis lilfordi (Lilford's wall lizard) is the source of this 72-nucleotide non-coding RNA. The record is from the annotation of a GenBank genome assembly. NCBI's taxonomy places the organism in Eukaryota, Metazoa, Chordata, Lepidosauria, Squamata, Lacertidae.